GGCGGAAUGUGCAGAGCUCUGGCUUCUAUUACUGGAGCCGCGCCACGUGACUCCUCCGUGUGUUGUGUCAUGUGCUGGGACAAUGUUGUACUAAGGGGAGGCUAUAAGUGGAAGUGAUCCCUCAAGAACCAGGAGUCUGGGAUUGAAAAACACACAACAGAAGAUGAAACCACAAAGAAAACAGUGAUAUACAGGACGCGUCACGAUCAAGCACCACCAUCCAUCUUUAGCACGACCGUGUCUCAUGCCGUCUUGCUCCUGAUCACCAGAGUACAGUGAUCCCUCAACUUACAAUGGCCUCAACAUACAAUAGUUUCAACAUACAGUGGUCUUUUCUGGACCAUUGUAACUUGAAACCAGACUCAACAUACAAUGCUAUGGAAUCUGUGAAACGUGUCAAUGGCUGGAAGAACCGAUAUAUCAGAAUGGGCAUUUCACUGGUAAAACCCCUGUAUUACUGAAGUGCAUGCACCGACUGACUGGUGUCUGGUAGCGCCCCCUACAGUACAGGGAGGUAUUACAUGUUCUGUACUCUUUACCUCUGCCAGGGUAGCUGCUCCUUUGGACACCAGGUGAGGGAAGCUCCAUUUCCCUUUUUUUUUUUAGGACAUUGUGUGUUCAGUACAGGACCCUGAAGAAGCUUCUGUCCUCUACAUAGACCAGUGUUUCCCA
Molecule: long non-coding RNA, 672 nt
Organism: Hyla sarda
Lineage: Eukaryota; Metazoa; Chordata; Amphibia; Anura; Hylidae
Exons: 3
Source: RefSeq, a predicted model, not a curated record